This 305-nucleotide ribosomal RNA is filed under the name uncultured bacterium. RNAcentral describes it as "partial 16S ribosomal RNA". It matches the Rfam family "Bacterial small subunit ribosomal RNA", at positions 506 to 807 of the family's 1533-position model. The record is from RNAcentral.
ACAGCAGCAGCCACGGGAAUACGGAGGGUGCAAGCGUUAAUCGGAAUUACUGGGCGUAAAGCGCACGCAGGCGGUCUGACAAGUCAGAUGUGAAAUCCCCGGGCUUAACCUGGGAACUGCAUUUGAAACUGUCAGGCUGGAGUCUUGUAGAGGGGGGUGGAAUUCCAGGUGUAGCGGUGAAAUGCAUAGAGAUCUGGAGGAAUACCGGUGGCGAAGGCGGCCCCCUGGACAAAGACUGACGCUCAGGUGCGAAAGCGUGGGGAGCAAACAGGAUUAGAUACCCCGGUAGUCCCUGUCUCUUAUAC